Molecule: ribosomal RNA, 476 nt
Filed under: Pseudaeromonas sharmana
Lineage: Bacteria; Pseudomonadati; Pseudomonadota; Gammaproteobacteria; Aeromonadales; Aeromonadaceae
Description: bacterial SSU rRNA
Rfam family: Bacterial small subunit ribosomal RNA
Source: RNAcentral
UCGACGGCAGCGGGGGGUAGCUUGCUACCCUGCCGGCGAGUGGCGGACGGGUGAGUAAUGCCUGGGGAGCUGCCCAAUCGAGGGGGAUACCAGUUGGAAACGACUGCUAAUACCGCAUACGCCCUGAGGGGGAAAGGUGGGGAUCUUCGGACCUACCGCGAUUGGAUGCACCCAGGUGGGAUUAGCUAGUUGGUGAGGUAACGGCUCACCAAGGCGACGAUCUCUAGCUGGUCUGAGAGGAUGACCAGCCACACUGGAACUGAGACACGGUCCAGACUCCUACGGGAGGCAGCAGUGGGGAAUAUUGCACAAUGGGGGAAACCCUGAUGCAGCCAUGCCGCGUGUGUGAAGAAGGCCUUCGGGUUGUAAAGCACUUUCAGUCAGGAGGAAAGGUGGCUAGCUAAUAUCUAGUUGCUGUGACGUUACUGACAGAAGAAGCACCGGCUAACUCCGUGCCAGCAGCCGCGGUAAUACGG